AACGCUAGCUACAGGCUUAACACAUGCAAGUCGAGGGGUAACAGGGUGCUUGCACCGCUGACGACCGGCGCACGGGUGCGUAACGCGUAUACAAUCUACCUUUUACAGAGAGAUACCCCAGAGAAAUUUGGAAUAAUACCUCAUAAUAUUUUUGCUCGGCAUCGAGUGACAAUUAAAGUUUCGGCGGUAAAAGAUGAGUAUGCGUCCUAUUAGCUAGUUGGUAAGGUAACGGCUUACCAAGGCGACGAUAGGUAGGGGUCCUGAGAGGGAGAUCCCCCACACUGGUACUGAGACACGGACCAGACUCCUACGGGAGGCAGCAGUGAGGAAUAUUGGUCAAUGGGCGAAAGCCUGAACCAGCCAAGUAGCGU
This 371-nucleotide ribosomal RNA is filed under the name uncultured bacterium. Its description in RNAcentral is "bacterial SSU rRNA". It matches the Rfam family "Bacterial small subunit ribosomal RNA", at positions 32 to 402 of the family's 1533-position model. The record is from RNAcentral.